GAUGAACGCUGGCGGCGUGCUUAACACAUGCAAGUCGAACGGAGUGCCUUUGAAAGAGGAUUCGUCCAAUUGAUAAGGUUACUUAGUGGCGGACGGGUGAGUAACGCGUGAGGAACCUGCCUUGGAGUGGGGAAUAACACAGUGAAAAUUGUGCUAAUACCGCAUAAUGCAGUUGGGUCGCAUGACUCUGACUGCCAAAGAUUUAUCGCUCUGAGAUGGCCUCGCGUCUGAUUAGCUAGUUGGUGGGGUAACGGCCCACCAAGGCGACGAUCAGUAGCCGGACUGAGAGGUUGGCCGGCCACAUUGGGACUGAGACACGGCCCAGACUCCUACGGGAGGCAGCAGUGGGGAAUAUUGGGCAAUGGGCGCAAGCCUGACCCAGCAACGCCGCGUGAAGGAAGAAGGCUUUCGGGUUGUAAACUUCUUUUCUUAGGGACGAAGCAAGUGA
RNAcentral lists this ribosomal RNA (448 nucleotides) under uncultured bacterium. RNAcentral's name for it is "bacterial SSU rRNA". It matches the Rfam family "Bacterial small subunit ribosomal RNA", at positions 28 to 457 of the family's 1533-position model. The record is from RNAcentral.